RNAcentral lists this ribosomal RNA (546 nucleotides) under uncultured bacterium. Its description in RNAcentral is "bacterial SSU rRNA". It matches the Rfam family "Bacterial small subunit ribosomal RNA", at positions 772 to 1304 of the family's 1533-position model. The record is from RNAcentral.
ACUAAAUAGAUACCCAGGUAGUCCACGCCGUAAACGAUGAUCACUCGCUGUUGGCGAUACACAGUCAGCGGCUAAAGCAAAAGCAUUAAGUGAUCCACCUGGGGAGUACGGCCGCAAGGCUGAAACUCAAAGGAAUUGACGGGGCCCGGCCACAAGCGGAGGAACGAAUGUGGUUUAAGUUUACGUAUGAUACGCGAGGAACCGUUACCCUGGGCGUUAAAUAGUAGAGUGCAUUGGUUGAGAAAUACAUCAUUUUCUUUCGGAACGUCUCUGCAAGGUGCUGCAUGGUUUGUCGUCGGCUCGUGCCGUGAGGUGUCGGGUUAAGUCCCAUAACGAGCGCAACCCUUAUCGUUAGUUGCCAGCGGGUAAGUGCCGGGGACGUCUAGCGAAACUGCCGGUGUAAACCGAGAGGAAGGUGGGGAUGACGUCAAAUCAGCACGGCCCUUAUGUCCAGGGCUACACACGUGUUACAAUGGCCGGUACAGAGGGCAGCUACCUGGAGACAGGAUGCGAAUCUCGAAAGCCGGUCUCAGUUCGGAUCGGAGU